This 495-nucleotide ribosomal RNA is filed under the name uncultured bacterium. RNAcentral describes it as "partial 16S ribosomal RNA". It matches the Rfam family "Bacterial small subunit ribosomal RNA", at positions 28 to 507 of the family's 1533-position model. The record is from RNAcentral.
GACGAACGCUGGCGGCGUGCCUAAUACAUGCAAGUAGAACGCUGAAGGAGGAGCUUGCUUCUCUGGAUGAGUUGCGAACGGGUGAGUAACGCGUAGGUAACCUGCCUGGUAGCGGGGGAUAACUAUUGGAAACGAUAGCUAAUACCGCAUAAGAGUAGAUGUUGCAUGACAUUUGCUUAAAAGGUGCAAUUGCAUCACUACCAGAUGGACCUGCGUUGUAUUAGCUAGUUGGUGAGGUAACGGCUCACCAAGGCAACGAUACAUAGCCGACCUGAGAGGGUGAGCGGCCACACUGGGACUGAGACACGGCCCAGACGCCUACGGGAGGCAGCAGUAGGGAAUCUUCGGCAAGGGACGGAAGUCUGACCGAGCAACGCCGCGUGAGGGAAGAAGGGUGUCGGAUCGGAAAGCUCUGUUGUAAGAGAAGAACGAGUGUGAGAGUGGAAAGUUCACACUGUGACGGUAUCUUACCAGAAAGGGACGGCUAACUACGUG